This 20-nucleotide ribosomal RNA is filed under the name Heterococcus ramosissimus. RNAcentral's name for it is "partial 5.8S ribosomal RNA". The record is from RNAcentral. Lineage: Eukaryota; Xanthophyceae; Tribonematales; Heteropediaceae.
GCAUGCUUAUCGGAGUGUCU